RNAcentral lists this ribosomal RNA (423 nucleotides) under uncultured bacterium. RNAcentral's name for it is "bacterial SSU rRNA". It matches the Rfam family "Bacterial small subunit ribosomal RNA", at positions 355 to 774 of the family's 1533-position model. The record is from RNAcentral.
UGGGGAAUUUUGCGCAAUGGGCGAAAGCCUGACGCAGCAACGCCGCGUGUGUGACGAAGGCCCUAGGGUUGUAAAGCACUGUGGGGAGGGAAGAAAAAACGGGGGUUGUACCCCGACUUGACGGUACCUCUUUAGAAAGCACCGGCUAACUCCGUGCCAGCAGCCGCGGUAAUACGGAGGGUGCAAGCGUUGUUCGGAAUUAUUGGGCGUAAAGGGCGUGUAGGUGGCACUCCAAGUCUGUUGUGAAAGCCCACGGCUCAACCGUGGAACUGCAAUGGAAACUGGGGCGCUCGAGUAUUGGAGGGGGUCGCGGAAUUCCCGGUGUAGAGGUGAAAUUCGUAGAUAUCGGGAGGAACACCAGUGGCGAAGGCGGCGACCUGGCCAAUUACUGACACUGAGACGCGAAAGCGUGGGUAGCAAACA